ACCGGUGCCAGCCGCCGCGGUAAUACCGGCAGCUCGAGUGGUAGCUGUUUUUAUUGGGCCUAAAGCGUUCGUAGCCGGUUUGAUAAGUCUUUGGUGAAAGCUUGUAGCUUAACUAUAAGAAUUGCUGGAGAUACUAUCAGACUUGAAGUCGGGAGAGGUUAGAGGUACUACCGGGGUAGGGGUGAAAUCCUAUAAUCCUGGGAGGACCACCUGUGGCGAAGGCGUCUAACUAGAACGAUCUUGACGGUGAGUAACGAAAGCCAGGGGCGCGAACCGGAUUAGAUACCCGGGUAGUCCUGGCCGUAAACGAUGUGGACUUGGUGUUGGAAUGGCUUUGAGUUGUUCCAGUGCCGAAGGGAAGCUG
This 364-nucleotide ribosomal RNA is filed under the name uncultured archaeon. RNAcentral's name for it is "bacterial SSU rRNA". It matches the Rfam family "Archaeal small subunit ribosomal RNA", at positions 451 to 814 of the family's 1478-position model. The record is from RNAcentral.